AACGAACGCUGGCGGCAUGCCUAACACAUGCAAGUCGAACGAGACCUUCGGGUCUAGUGGCGCACGGGUGCGUAACGCGUGGGAACCUGCCCUUAGGUUCGGAAUAACUCCCCGAAAGGGGUGCUAAUACCGGAUAAUGUCUUCGGACCAAAGAUUUAUCGCCUUUGGAUGGGCCCGCGUUGGAUUAGCUGGUUGGUAGGGUAAAAGCCUACCAAGGCGACGAUCCAUAGCUGGUCUGAGAGGAUGAUCAGCCACACUGGGACUGAGACACGGCCCAGACUCCUACGGGAGGCAGCAGUGGGGAAUAUUGGACAAUGGGCGAAAGCCUGAUCCAGCAAUGCCGCGUGAGUGAUGAAGGCCUUAGGGUUGUAAAGCUCUUUUACCCGGGAUGAUAAGGACAGUACCUGGAGAAUAAGCACCGGCUAACUCCGU
This 432-nucleotide ribosomal RNA is filed under the name uncultured bacterium. Its description in RNAcentral is "partial 16S ribosomal RNA". It matches the Rfam family "Bacterial small subunit ribosomal RNA", at positions 29 to 506 of the family's 1533-position model. The record is from RNAcentral.